GGGGAGGGGUGGGACGCGCAAGGCUGUGGCCGCCCCUGCGCCACACUUCCGCCUGGCUUCCCAGAAGUUAGCCUGGCCCUCACCUCCACUGCAGACAAAAGCCUCCCCUCCUCAGGGUAGAGCGGGAAGCAGAGUGGCACAGGCAGGUAGGUGACCCCGAGGACCGUCCCUUCCUAGCAGGUGCUCGCCGCUGUCCACUUUUCUGUGUCCCGGAGUGCCCUGCCCUCUUCUGGCCCCAGUCCCCCAAGCCCUUCUCUUCAGGUCUCUGGGUCCCCUCCAACCAGACUCCUCCUGGGCUCCUACAGCCCUGCUGGGGUAGGAGGCUUGGUGGCACCUGGGCCCCUCUCCGACCACUCUCCACCUCUGGCCGGCAGGGCUCCUCUCGGGGCCUUGGACUGUUUGUCCUGCACCCUGAUCUCCUUUGGUGGCCGGUGCUGUCUGCCCUGAGAGCCCACUGGCAUGACCGCUAGGGAUCUGGACUCCCCUCCUCGGACUCUUGUGUAUCCCCACCAGGCUCUGCCCGAGUCACGGGCCUUCUGCCCGAAUGACCUGGUUGUUCCUCGGGAACAUCCGGUCAGCACCCAGGCGGGCAAAGGUAGGGGUGCAGCUACCACUACCCAGCUGGACGACCCCUCCUGGCCAUGGGACAGAAGCUUGGAUGCGAGAGCAGGUUUGCCCUGGAGCCACCUGGGGUGCAGCGCCUCUCACAGCCUCUGAUUGGAUAGUCCUAGGCAUUCAACAGGCUUUUCUCCUCCAGCGAAACUGGGAAUGACCCAGAGGAGUCUGCCAUACCCUGUCCAAAGCCUCCUAGCUCCUGCCUGCUGGCCGCACUUGGCCUCCUGCUCCAAAUGAGCCUGUGCCCACAUGGCUGUCCUUCAAAGGACCACAACAUAGCCUCUCUGAGAAGUACCCAGCUGAGAAAUUAGCCCCGGGCCCCAACAAAGUAAAAAAGCUGGAUCCUGGGGCCUGGGAGACUAGAGGGGUCGAGGGUGGCAGGUGAAGGCUUGGGAGGUGCUGGAGUAUGGGAGCAGUGCUGCAUGGGGCUCCCGGAGGGAGGCGCCAGGGGUUUCUCGAGGGCCCUGGGCACCCCGAAGGGCCCAAGUCCCACGGAGACGGCACUCUCCACUGGGCACAGCCCUACCCGCCAUGGCGAGCAUUGAGGCGCUCCAUGUACUGGGCCGCCACGUCCACGGCCUCGGCUUCCGGAAGCUGUAGAUUGCCGGACACGUUGCAGCGCAGGUCGUUCCAGUCUGAGCGCAGCAGCUCGAAGUCCACAGCGCCCACGCUGAAUGUGCGCUGCCAGUCGAUAGCAUCUUCUCGCCAGUGCCCGGGCACGCGGCCCGCGGCAUCCUCCUCGCUGUCCUCUGAGGCCACCUCGUCGCCAGGGGCCCGGUCCUCCUCCUCCCCCUCGCCCUCGGCGAGCAGCUGCGGCCGGGACACCUGGGACAAGCUCAGGAAGGAGGUCAUGGGCUGCGCGGCAGCCGAGGAGUUCACAUCCGGUGUGGGCGCGUGGGCCUGCGGGGCCCCGAGGGUGGACGGCGCGGGGGGCUCUGUGCCUGGGGGCCCGCGGGACCUGCGCCGGGGCCGAGGUGCACGCAGCUGCGCUCGUGGCACGGCGCGGGCACGCAGGAGGACGCCGGCCAGGGGAGGCCAGGCCGGGCCACGUGGGGACACCCGCGGUCGGGGCCGCACGCGCGUCACAUACACCUUGGCAGGAGGCUUCUCAGCGGCGCGCGGGGGUGGCGCGUGGCCCAGGAAGAGGGACAGGGGGCGCAUGGCCCAGCGCAGCGCGGGAGUGGCGGGACUGAGGGCCGUGGGAAGCUGAGAGCUCUGGCUCGCGCUCCGCCAGCGGUGGUGUGGGAGGCCUGCGUCCGCUCCGCGGUGGGCCCACCUCGGUGGGCUCCAGGCUGUCCAGCAGCUCCCCCUCGUCCUCUUCGUCCAGGAAGUCUGCAGGCAGCGGAGGUGAGCGGGCGGCCAGGGCCAGCGGGGCUGCGGGGCGGGGUGGGCGUGGGGAGGCUCACCCUCGGGGCUGAGGAACAAGAAGGCCCGGCGCUGCUGCUCCUCCUCCCCGUCCUCCCCUUCCUGCUUGUCCAUCUUCAUGUAUUUGUAGAAACCGAACCUGGAGCAGCAGAGCGUCAGAGCCGCCGUCCUGGUGAGGCCUCACCCCGUGCCCUCCGGCCCACCUACCUUUCCAGGUACCGGGGAGAUUCUCGGUAGAAGCACUUGUUCUCCGUCUCCAUGUGCGUGAGGCGGGUGUAGUCAUUGGGAUACACGAAGGACAGGUAUACCUGGGGGAGAGGCGAGGCGAGGGCUCAGGGCCUCCGGGGAACGAGGGGGUGCCUGGAGCACAGUGGGGCUCUGGUCUGGGCACGUACAAACUGCAGCCCCUGGUAUCUGGCGAUGGGGAAGUCCUUGAGAACGUAGGUAGGUGCGUAGGCACAGGGCUCCAGCACGCUCUCCAGGCUCCAGGGCUCUAUCCGGGGUGCUGUGGGCGGGGUCCUUGUCAAGGGCUGGGCCGGUCCGCCCCAGCCCAGCCCAGCCCGGCCUGGCCAGGCCCCUCCACUCCCUGGGGGCCGGCUCACUGAGGAAGAAGCUGUCCCUGGGGUCUGGGCGCAGCAUGUCUGCGCUGGACUCCUCCUUGGGCAGGUGGCCCCUGACAUGGCUGGCUGGAGACUGGGGCACGUGGGCCACAUGGUCCAUCUUCAGGGAGGACUCAUCUGUGGGCCCAAGGUUGAUCCAGGUCCUCCUUCCCGCCCAGCUGGGCCACCCCCAGAGCCGCUGCCUCCCCAGGUGCCCAGAGUACCUGUGUAAAGGGAGAUGUGAGCAGCGCUGAUGACUUCAAACUUCAGGCCCGGCAGAGAUCUUCCUGCAACUUCACCUACUCUCUGGCUUUGUACCGUCGGCUUCCUGAGGUCACUGGUGGCCUCAUAAGGGCUCCUCCCCAGCUCAUGGGUUUUCCUGGAAUGGACAUCCCACUGGCUUGUUCUCAGGACAGUCUGCACAGUCCAGCACCACCCCGCACUCCCCCACCUGGCCGCCGGACCCCUCGGGGGCUGGAAUUAAUAUGCUGCAUAUCCCACUCCCAAUUCUACUUUUCCACCUCCAGGCGGACUGUCACUCAUCAGCAAGGCUCUUCUGUGCCCCUUGCAGUGGGGACCACACUGUUGUGCCCUUGGGCGAGGUAGAAGCUGGAUGGGGAGGGGAGGCACUCACACCCACUUCCACAUGGUCUGAGCCCCGGUCAUCCUGCUUGUGAAGCAGUUCAAAGUAGUACCUCCGGGAGGCCAUGAGCCUAUGGAGAGAAGGCAAGGCUUGCCUUUCAUACAGAACAGAUGGACAGCCGGGACGGGCAGCAGCUCCCAGGCCUCCUGGCUAGUCGCUUGGGGACAGUGGUCUGGCCAGGAUGGUGCUGGUACAGUGUGUGACAGGGUACAGAGGCUGAGGAGAUGCCACUGGCCUUCUUCUCACAUGCUAACACACGUGUGCAUAUGCACACAAUUGCUGGUACACACGUGUCAGUCACACACACCAACACACAGGUGAAUACACACAUAUGCUUGUGUACACACCCUAGUCACACAUACCAACAUGUGCAUAUGAGUACUUGUGCAAACGCCAGUCAUUCACAUACACCAAGUGUGUAAACACAAGUGCUUAUACACACAAGUCAUACACCAACACACACACAAACAUGUGCUUGUAAACGCACCACUGACAUACCAACACAUGCAUAUACACGAGUGCUGGUACACACACCAGCAUGUGUGCAUACACAGAUCAAUGUUUGCAUAUACAUCACAGUCACAGACACCAACAUGUGUGCACAAAGUGCUUUACACAUAUCCUAGUCACACACACCACCACACACAUGCAUACACACAUGAAUGGUUAUACACAC
RNAcentral lists this long non-coding RNA (3898 nucleotides) under Heterocephalus glaber (naked mole-rat). RNAcentral's name for it is "lncRNA (ENSHGLG00000046482.1)". Lineage: Eukaryota; Metazoa; Chordata; Mammalia; Rodentia; Bathyergidae. The record is from RNAcentral.